GAACUGAAGAGUUUGAUCAUGGCUCAGAUUGAACGCUGGCGGCAGGCCUAACACAUGCAAGUCGAGCGGAUGACGGGAGCUUGCUCCUUGAUUCAGCGGCGGACGGGUGAGUAA
RNAcentral lists this ribosomal RNA (114 nucleotides) under Pseudomonas asiatica. RNAcentral describes it as "partial 16S ribosomal RNA". It matches the Rfam family "Bacterial small subunit ribosomal RNA", at positions 1 to 113 of the family's 1533-position model. The record is from RNAcentral. Lineage: Bacteria; Pseudomonadati; Pseudomonadota; Gammaproteobacteria; Pseudomonadales; Pseudomonadaceae.